CCCUGGUUAGCUCAAUUGGUAGAGCGCUCCACCUGUAAUGGUGGAGCGCUCUACCAAACAAUCCGCCUGGUCCCGGGUUCGAUACCCGGACCAGGCG
This 97-nucleotide transfer RNA is filed under the name Ixodes scapularis (black-legged tick). RNAcentral's name for it is "tRNA-Thr for anticodon UGU". It matches the Rfam family "tRNA". Rfam says of the family: Transfer RNA (tRNA) molecules are approximately 80 nucleotides in length. Their secondary structure includes four short double-helical elements and three loops (D, anti-codon, and T loops). Further hydrogen bonds mediate the characteristic L-shaped molecular structure. tRNAs have two regions of fundamental functional importance: the anti-codon, which is responsible for specific mRNA codon recognition, and the 3' end, to which the tRNAs corresponding amino acid is attached (by aminoacyl-tRNA synthetases). tRNAs cope with the degeneracy of the genetic code in two manners: having more than one tRNA (with a specific anti-codon) for a particular amino acid; and 'wobble' base-pairing, i.e. permitting non-standard base-pairing at the 3rd anti-codon position. The record is from RNAcentral. Lineage: Eukaryota; Metazoa; Arthropoda; Arachnida; Ixodida; Ixodidae.